RNAcentral lists this transfer RNA (82 nucleotides) under Microcaldota archaeon. Its description in RNAcentral is "Candidatus Micrarchaeota archaeon tRNA-Ser". It matches the Rfam family "tRNA". Rfam says of the family: Transfer RNA (tRNA) molecules are approximately 80 nucleotides in length. Lineage: Archaea; Nanobdellati; Microcaldota. The record is from RNAcentral. RNAcentral also lists the same sequence under 1 other name.
GCCGGGGUGGCAGAGUGGUAAUGCGCACGCCUUGAGAGCGUGUGCCCUUCGGGGCAUGUGGGUUCGAAUCCCACCCCCGGCG